This 15164-nucleotide long non-coding RNA is filed under the name Lactuca sativa (garden lettuce). Its description in RNAcentral is "long non-coding RNA (LSAT_LNC005151)". The record is from RNAcentral. Lineage: Eukaryota; Viridiplantae; Streptophyta; Magnoliopsida; Asterales; Asteraceae.
GAUAAUAACAUAGUCAAGAAAAACAAAUAACAUGAUAUCAUAAUUUAUUUCAAUCAUAUAGUUUUCAACUUAACUCAACCGAUUAUUACAUAUAAUUUAAUUCACCGUUUAUUAUAUGUAAUUUCUAAUUCAACCGAUUAACUACUUUGGGGUUCCUUAGGGAGGGUCUACCCAACAACUUAACCCCGUUCACUACUCGUGUGCUCAGCCAGUUUAGUGCUCUAAGUGGCUCAUGACUUCCACCCGAAUACACCAACCCCAAGACUUCCACUUUCGCUACUCCGACUUGCAAAGUACAAGUACUUUACGGUGUCGUUUAGGAUCGGUACAAACGGUGCCAAUUCCAACGAUACACCUCCCGAUUCCCACGUGAUGUUUGAUCCGGCCACACCAUAAAGCCAACACCACUCCAGUUCCCGUACACCGAGGUGCACACGAACCACGUGUCACACGACCAUCUAGAAAAGUUCGUGUAACUAAUCACCGUUAUGGCUUAAGCUCUUUCAACCCAUUAGGCUUGCAAGGUUCUACCCAUGUCACCGUUAUACCCCGCAAAAGCAUGCAUACACCAUAAUAAUCAUAUUACUCUUACAACUUAAACGAGUAAUUAUCAUGUAAUGAAGUUCAUUAAGAGGUCACCAUACAUUAGCAUAUAACUACAAAUUCAUGAAACACCGUAUCCGCAUGCAAUUUACAACGUUCACAUAACAUGAAUAUCACCAUAGCAACUGAUGCCAAGGAAUAACCACACAUAAGAUGCAAACAACAUAUUUUCAAUAAUUAUCACAAAAAUCUAGCAUGAAUCCUAAUUUGCAUCAACAAUCCACCUAUGAGAUGUGGUUUUUGGUUAUGUACUAAAGUCAACAAAAAUUGUCGACUCACCUUAUGUUUGAAGCGAGUUCUCCUUUUUAUUUCAAGCCUUGACCCUUCUUGAAGUUGUCAAGUUCUCACCUAAUAAUCACACAUAUCAAACAAUCAUCAAAAUAGGGUCCAAGUUUCGUUAACACCUUUAAUUUCUUAAUGGGUUACAUAUAUAUUUUUUUUAAGUUUCACAGCUUGACCACUGCUCAGUGUUUUGGCCAUAAAACAGAAUCUCUAACUCCGAUUGGGCUGAAUCCGGACUUUUUGAAAACUAGACUCGAUUUCCUACAUUUUAUCCAGAGAGGGGCAUCGGCCAAUUCUUCUCAGAUUAGCAGCUACAGCCCUUGCAAGAUAGGGCAAAGUUGCUGUGCAGAAUUAUAGUAUUUGCCAAAAUACACAAACACGUAAAGGCUUUAGCCAAUGGAUUAAGAAUACAUAAAUUUUCACCAAUUUGGCCUUGAAUGAGUGCAUUAAGAUCUCAUGGUUUGCUCCCUGAAUAGUAAUUCGUAGUUUGCUAGAAACUUUGAAUAUUGGUUAUCUUUUGUUAAACAUCAAACCUCACUGUCCACUUGAUCAAACUCUUGAAUCUACAUAACAACUUUUGUACGAUUUUUGUUUUAAAUGAGAUAAUCCACGGUCCAUAAAAACAAUUAACAAAUCUUGUUAAACUACUUGUUUACUCCACCAAUCACACACCAUCCAUUCAUCAUAUAUAUGUAUAUAUCCAUGCAUGUGAUUAAUCCCAUGAAUUGUAACUAAUACACGUAGAAGGAUUUUACCUUAUAUUCACGGGAAGCAACGUGUCUCUCACUGUCCUUCACAGUGGCCAAUACAUGUAAUAUGUAACCUACCUACGCCUACCCACCUCGCACCAUGCUUGUGUAAAUAUUUCUUCCCAUUCGUUGUACACUGAAAUACCGCAUCAAGAUCUCAUCGGAGUUGGUUUCCCGUUGUUUUUCUCUGUCGGUUUCCAUUGUUGAAACCACUUUAAGCCACCACAACCAUCUCCUUUCUCCUUCCUGUAUUCGCGUUUUUUUUUUUUUUUUUUUCUUUCGUUCCUUCCCAGUUGACGCCAAGCAAGAACAGUAAGCAAGCUUGAUUUUUGGGUUGCAUGUUAUUCCACAUGCUGAGGAAACGGAUUGGAGAAUAAUCGAUCCAAUUCCCUUGAAGGUUAUAAGUAAUUACUAUACUCGAAGGAAACGGAAGAAAAUAAACACAUACGUAACUAUCGGUUAAAUUGAAUUCAAAAUAGAAAUGUUACACUUUAAGUCCUUCGAUUUAUUUCAAAAUAAUUCUUUUAACCUUUUAACAAUUUCUUUAAUAAAUCAAGUUUCAUUCAAUGACAUUUUAACCCCUCUAUGUCAUUCAUACGUUUUAAUGAAUUAUAUAUAUACACCUUAUUUCAAAAAAACACAAUUAAUUAAAUUAUAUACUCGUUAAAUAUGUCGAUUAAUUAAUUUAGGUAUUUAUCGACACCCUUUUUGUUUAGUUUAUUUCAUUCUAUACCCUUAGAAUCGAAAUAUCUUUACAACAAUUAAUUUUCGAGUAACAUAAAGCUAACAUCGAUAAUGGAAGGAUUUUCAGGUCGUUACAAUUCUCCCCUCCUUAAAAUGAUUCCGUCUUCGGAAUUAGAUACCGAUACGAACAACUUAGGGUAACAAACAUUCAUGUAUUCAACCACCUUGGUCACUUCUGACCUAUACUUGUCCUCCCAUUAGAACUUAAUCAGCUUGGAUCAUUUUAUCCCCUGCUAUUUGGUCUCUCUCUAACCAUGUCAUCUGUCAUCCCUUUCAUCUCUUGCGUUAACUUAUCGUCUCACUACUUAUCCAUCAUCAAGUCACGCGACUCUUAACUUGCUGUGAUUGCCAAAAUGAAUGAUUCUCAACCAAGAAGAGUCUUUCAGUAUCAUCGUUUGUCCGUUGAGGAACAUACACAAUCACUUCCCCUCAUUGCACCUUCUCACUCCCUAACCAAAGUAGGACGUAGAUUCUUAUUUGCCUUCAUCUUGAUCGCGUCCAAUCUUAGACAAUUGACACCCAAACGCAUGUAUCGUCUUUUGUUUAACGAGUUGGACUAGCACUCCAUAAAAUGAGGAACUUGAUCGAAUAAUUCACACUCAAACAAGUCAUGAAGCUACGUCAACAUUUACUUCAUUACUGAAUGAACCGAUUUAAGAGUUGCUUUGGCCUUGGAGCCAUACAAAAAGUAUAGUCAAACGAGAUCUCUACCUUACAUGGUGUUUAUACACUCGAAACCUCAUCAGGGAAAAUCAUCGCUACAUUGUUUAGCAAGCUCCGUAUCAAAGAGACUUAUCAUUUUCCUUGAUCUCUCAAUCGUACUUGUCAAGAAGACCUCACAUCACCUCACUAGGAACUUAAGUGCCAUCAUCAUAGGAAUUUUAAGAGAAAGAAUACACCAUAGAGUUUUUCUCGUAAGACAUACCCUCUCUCGACAAGCAAAAUAUGCAUAUGCUGUUUAACUCAGAGAAUUUCAGUCUAGUUGGUGGAAAACCAAACAAUACUGAAAACAACAUCGAACAACUAGAUUCCAAAAGGAAGACAAUCACAAGGAAAACAUAGUCAUCUGCAAAGUUUUCACAUACGUCAAACAUCUAACUACACUCAGGCUACAUUUCGUACAACCGGGUUACUAUCUAACGUCAAAGUUAACAGACUCUAAGGUACGUCAAAACGAGCACAAAAGAGAACAAUGACACAAAAAAGUCUACCAAACAUACAUCCAUUCCAAAUCCGAGUACCGAUCACUAGGUCCUUGAGUUACCUUGUGGUUCCUCCGGUCCCAAAUAUGUAUCAUGUGCUUAUGAUAGUACGGGCCCAAUACUAACGUUCACACAUAUAUAUAUUUGCUUCUGGAAUUACCACAAAGUUAUAUGUGUUAUAGGUUUAGGUUAAAGAUCGAUGCAAGUAUUUUGCUUCAUGGAUUCCAAAACCUGAGGGAGUUUGUAUACUACGAUAAAACUUCUCUUCCUAGUCUGCCAUUGACCAACUAUAAACAAACAAUUUGCAGGGCUUUGUCGAAUACCUGCAGUCCAAUAAUUGCUGCAAGAUGAUCUUCCAUUUCCUCGAUACGCGAAGCACUAUUUGAACUAUAAACAUUCAUGGAUAACUAAUCUUGUUGGUCACAAGCAUUUCCCCUAACGUCGAGAGAUAUUAACGGUUAUAAGAUUCGCGAGAAAAAAGAGAGGAUGCUUCGAUAUCGAAAAAAAAAUGUCCUAAAGGCAUAUAGCAAAUAACAUAUAACUCUCAACACACACCCUUCCCCCCUUAAGAAUCCUAGAGCACCUAACCGAGCCAGUCUACACUGUGAGUCUGAACACUGGCAUCUGUAUUCAGUUCACUCACAGCAUGGCUCUGAUACCAACUUGUAACGUCGUGAUUUUUACUCCAUUUCUUUCUUUUAAAAACAUUUAUUUAACAGAAUACGUUAGCGGAAGACUUAGUUUUUUUAUUUAUUAUUAUUUUCAACCAUUCCAAAAGCCACACGUUACCAUUUUCAUAAACCAACAUUUAACCGUUUAAUUAUGGCAAAAAAAAAGGUUCAAAGGAAAAUAAAAACCAAACGUGCUCAAGUGGCAUCUUCAUUAAAACUAACUACCCAAAAGGAACCCAACCUCACCAAGCCAUGCUCCUAAGAUACCUGUACCAAUCAAAAGGCAUCCAACAAAGAAACAAGCGUUAGCAACUGCCACGUAAGCCGACAAGUUGUACACAACCAAAAAGAGAACACACAAUUCCCGUAAGGGUCAUCCAUGCAAAUCGUGAUAAUAACAUAGUCAAGAAAAACAAAUAACAUGAUAUCAUAAUUUGUUUCAAUCAUAUAGUUUUCAACUUAACUCAACCGAUUAUUACAUAUAAUUUAAUUCACCGUUUAUUAUAUGUAAUUUCUAAUUCAACCGAUUAACUAUUUUGGGGUUCCUUAGGGAGGGUCUACCCAACAACUUAACCCCGUUCACUACUCGUGUGCUCAGCCAGUUUAGUGCUCUAAGUGGCUCAUGACUUCCACCCGAAUACACCAACCCCAAGACUUCCACUUUCGCUACUCCGACUUGCAAAGUACAAGUACUUUACGUGUGGACGAGAGCAUAUAUCGGACAUUUAUUCUAGAAUCAUGAAAAAUUGUUAUAUAGAAUAGUUUCCUAUACUAGAUAGAAUAGUUUCCAUGUAUUGUUCCGUAAUUGGUGGUAGGUUGUUGUUGUAUUCUCUAUAUAUUGUAAUCCUCCUUGAAAGUUAAUAUAUAUGAAAAAUCCCAGAAUUCCAAUUGGAAGUAUAGGUGUGUACAUGGUAUCAGAGCACCUAUAAACCAACCUCUAAAAAAUCUGAAAGCCAAAUGGCUCGAAAAGAAACCUCUUCCCCCGAAACUCGAAUCAUUGUUCAGGAUGUCCCUUUUCCUACAGGGAUUACCCUGGACGACUCGAACUAUCAACUGUGGUCACAGUUGAUGGAAAUGCGUAUCUCUGCUCGAAACAAACUAGGGUUCCUCACCGGAACCACUACGCUUCCUAAAACCGGAGAAAAAGAGAUCGAAAAUUGGCUCAUGGAAAACAAUAAGGUUAAAAGUUGGCUUAUUGAUUCCAUGAGCCCCUCACUGAUUCCUCGAUUCAUCCGAUUAAAGACCGCCAAAGAGAUUUGGGAGGCUGUGGCAAGGACCUUCUACGACGGGUCGGAUGAGACUCAGCUUUUCGAGUUGAAUCGGCGGUCCUUUAACACGAAGCAGAACGGUAGGUCUCUCGCCACCUACUACAACGAACUCUUGGGAAUUUUCCAAGAGAUAGACUCUCGCCUUUCCGUACAUGAAGAAAACGUGGAGAACAUUGUCUCUCUUCACAAAAUAGUUGGACGCCUCCGGGUCCACAUAUUUCUUGCUGGCCUUGAUUUCGAAUUUAACCAAGCUCGAAGGGAAAUAUUGAGGAAAGAUCCACCCCUCGACCUCGAAGCAUGCUACGCAUACGUACGAAAAGAUCAGAACCAACGUAUGACAAUGGAUGACGCGAAGAACGAGCCGGACAGUAUCGUCCAUCUUGCAUCAAGAAAUCAGAACGGAAAAGGAAAAGGAUCGAACAAAGGUAAUACUUUCGUGUGUACUCAUUGUGGUGAAGCAGGUCAUUCAAAACAAAAGUGUUACGAGAUCAUUGGAUAUCCCGAGUGGUGGGAUUUUACCAAGAAACCUAGGCGGAAACCAAGCCAGCCCGCGACGUCGAAUGUGAAAACAGAAGACUCAACUCCGGUAGCUGCACAUACAGAAUCAUCAAGCAUUAACGGUAUGUACAAUAACCCUAAUUCUCAAAAUAACGCAUGGAUUAUCGACACCGGAGCCACCGAUCAUAUGACAAAUGAUCAAACUAAACUUCUGUUUAAAAACCCACCACAACAAAUCGCCGUCAAAACAGCCAAUGGCGGUAUAGCUCCGGUUACAUGCGAGGGUUCGGCAAAACUAUCAGACUCAUUAAGUCUGGAUAAGAUUCUGGUGGUUCCAUCAUUGUCAUCCAACCUUUUGUCUGUCAUUCAAAUAGUUGAUGAAUUAAAUUGCUAUGUGUCGUUUUGGCCUAAAGAAUGUUAUUUUCAGGACAUAGAAACGAACAGGAUGCUUGGCUCUGGUACUAGGAGAGGACGUUUGUACUAUCUUAAAGAGGAAGAAGAACAAGCACAGGCUCACGCAAUUGUUCAAGAUCAUGAAAAGAAAGGGCUGCCAUGGCUUUGGCAUCAUAGGCUGGGACACUUGUCAUUUGGUUACCUUAAGAAACUUAAACCUGAACUUUUUUUGAAUAAGGAUAUUGAAUUUAAUUGUGAUAUUUGUGAAUUGGCCAAGAACCACCGUAUCUCGUAUGCUCCUAGUACUAACAAGUCUUCAAUUCCUUUUAUGGUUAUACACUCGGAUGUUUGGGGGCCAGCAAAGAUAUCCACACCUAACGGGGCACGAUAUUUCGUAACAUUUAUAGAUGAGUGCACUCGGAUGGUGUGGAUCUCACUUCUUAAUCAUAAAAGUGAAGUAUGUAAGGUCUUCCAAGAAUUUUACAAACUAGUAAAAACGCAAUAUAAAUGUGAUAUAAAAGUUUUACAGUCGGAUAACGGAGGGGAAUACAUAAAUAACGAAAUGCAAAUGUUUUGUAAAAAUAAUUCCAUAAGACAUCAAACCUCGUGUGCAAAUACCCCGGAACAAAAUGGCGUGGCGGAAAGGCGAAAUCGACAAAUCCUGGAAAUAGUUCGGGCAUCAUUGUUUGACAUGAAGGUGCCCCGACAGUUUUGGGGUGAAGCUGUUCGUACAGCAGCAUAUGUCAUGAAUCGAACUCCCUCACGAGUGAUUGAUUUUCAAACUCCGCUUCAAUAUCUACAGAAAUUGGUAGAGGUACCUAUGGGGCCAAACUUGGAACCAAAAAUAUUUGGGUGUACAGCAUAUGUCUUUCAGAAUAUCGGUAAACUUGAACCUCGUGCAAUCCGAUGUAUGUUCAUUGGAUACGCUGAAUUCAAAAAAGGAUAUAGGUGUUAUGAUCCUACAACAAGAAAAAUACAUGUUACACGAGAUGUUAAGUUUCAUGAAACAACUCCCUUCAAUCACGAUGUUUCCCCUCAGGGGGAAAUGUUGAGUAAUUUUGAGGGUAACAUGUGUGAGAUGACGGGAGAGCUUCUAGACGAUGAAUCUGACGAGGCCCAUCCAGAAAGCGGGUCUGACGAGGCCCAUCCAAAAUGCGGGUCUGAUGAAGCUCAUCACCCACAAACACCGGCGGCCCAUCCAGAAAAUCAAGAAACUCAACCAGUGAUUCAGGAUAUAGUACAAACGAACCCACUCCGACAGUCCACGAACCGGGUCCGACACAAGGUACGUCUUCUGGUCCUGAAACUUUUAUGCCUAAUGACGACAACAUAGUGCAGGAUAGCAAUGAAACGCAUGUACACGACCAGGAAACACGAUAUCCGGUAAGAAGUAAUCGGGGGGUCCCAAAGAAAUAGUACGUACCAGAACUUACCUCGAAGUCCAAAUACCCGAUAAACCACUAUGUAUCAACUCCUAAGUUGGGAAAAACACAAAGAACACUCGUUGAGGAAUUGGCAUCCGUGACCAUUCCAAAGACAAUUGAGGAAGCUCUUAAAGAACCGAGGUGGCGGAAGGCAAUUGAUGAGGAAAUGCUUGCACUACAGUUGAAUGGCACGUGGGACAUUGUAACACGACCUGAAAAAAAAAAUAGUCGGGUGUCGUUGGAUUUUCACCGUGAAACUAGAUGCAAACGGUAAGAUCGAUAGAUAUAAAGCGCGUCUCGUAGCAAAAGGGUAUACCCAGAAGUAUGGGAUUGAUUAUGGGGACACCUUUGCCCCUGUCGCGAAGAUCAAUACGAUUCGGGUUUUGGUGUCAAUAGCAGCUGCACAAGAUUGGCCACUUAAGCAAUUUGACGUGAAAAAUGCGUUCUUGAAUGGGCACUUGGAAGAAGAGGUAUACAUGGACCCUCCACCGGGGAUAAGUUGUGGGAAUAAAGUGUGCAAGUUGAAAAAGGCGUUGUAUGGCCUAAAACAAUCACCGAGGGCUUGGUUUGGAAGGUUCUCAAACUUCAUGAAGAAGGCAGGAUAUAAACAAAGUGACGCCGAUCACACUCUGUUUGUGAAAAACCAUGGAAAAAAGGUGACAGCCCUCAUUGUAUACGUAGACGACAUGGUGGUUACCAGUAAUGAUGAAGAUGAAAUUAAGAGGUUACAAAAACUAUUAGCCACAGAAUUUGAACUUAAGGAUUUGGGAGAUCUUAAGUAUUUCCUCGGUAUCGAGGUGGCUCGAUCUAAAACCGGCAUCACCAUGUGUCAACGGAAAUAUGUACUCGAUUUAUUAGCCGAAACCGGGAUGCUAGAAUGUCAACCCAUUGAUACUCCCAUUGAAGUUAACCACGGUUUGACCUUGUUGUCCGACCAAGUACCUGCUAAUAAGGAGAGAUACCAAAAACUUGUAGGAAAAUUGAUCUACCUUUCACACACCCGACCCGACAUAGCUUACGCGGUAAGCGUGGUAAGCCGAUUCAUGCACUCGCCGAGUGAGAGUCACAUGAAGGCUGUGUUUCGCAUUCUUAGAUAUCUCAAAUCAGCCCCUGGUAAUUGACUAUUUUUUGGAAAAAACAAAGAAUUGAAAGUAGAAGGGUAUUCAGACGCUGAUUGGGCAGGUGACAAGAAUGAUGGGAAGUCAACGGCUGGGUACUUCACUUUUGUGUAUGGGAAUCUUGUCACCUGGAGAAGCAAAAAGCAGAAAGUGGUAGCUCGAUCAAGUGCAGAGGCUGAGUUUAGGGGUAUGGUGCAUGGGGUAUGUGAGAUGAUAUGGAUCAAACGAGUCCUUAGGGACCUUGGCAUAGAACAAAAGACUCCUAUGAAACUAUAUUGUGAUAAUCAAGCAGCAGUUAAGAUUGCAAACAAUCCAGUGCAGCACGAUCGUACUAAACAUGUAGAGGUGGACCGUCAUUUUAUCAAAGAUCACUUGGAAAGGAAGACAAUCGAACUACCGUAUGUCUCUUCAAAGGACCAGUUAGCUGACAUGUUAACGAAGGCAGUUUGCAGUAAAGUAUUUAACCGCUCUCUAGACAAGCUGGGAAUGCUCGACAUACAUUCUCCAGCUUGAGGGGGAGUGUGGACGAGAGCAUAUAUCGGACAUUUAUUCUAGAAUCAUGAAAAAUUGUUAUAUAGAAUAGUUUCCUAUACUAGAUAGAAUAGUUUCCAUGUAUUGUCCCGUAAUUGGUGGUAGGUUGUUGUUCUAUUCUCUAUAUAUUGUAAUCCUCCUUGAAAGUUAAUAUAUAUGAAAAAUCCCAGAAUUCCAAUUGGAAGUAUAGGUGUGUACAUUACGGUGUCGUUUAGGAUCGGUACAAACGGUGCCAAUUCCAACGAUACACCUCCCGAUUCCCACGUGAUGUUUGAUCCGGCCACACCAUAAAGCCAACACCACUCCAGUUCCCAUACACCGAGGUGCACACGAACCACGUGUCACACGACCAUCUAGAAAAGUUUGUGUAACUAAUCACCGUUAUGGCUUAAGCUCUUUCAACCCAUUAGGCUUGCAAGGUUCUACCCAUGUCACCGUUAUACCCCGCAAAAGCAUGCAUACACCAUAAUAAUCAUAUUACUCUUACAACUUAAACGAGUAAUUAUCAUGUAAUGAAGUUCAUUAAGAGUUCACCAUACAUUAGCAUAUAACUACAAAUUCAUGAAACACCGUAUCCACAUGCAAUUUACAACGUUCACAUAACAUGAAUAUCACCAUAGCAACUGAUGCCAAGGAAUAACCACACAUAAGAUGCAAACAACAUAUUUUCAAUAAUUAUCACAAAAAUCUAGCAUGAAUCCUAAUUUGCAUCAACAAUCCACCUAUGAGAUGUGGUUUUUGGUUAUGUACUAAAGUCAACAAAAAUUGUCGACUCACCUUAUGUUUGAAGCGAGUUCUCCUUUUUAUUUCAAGCCUUGACCCUUCUUGAAGUUGUCAAGUUCUCACCUAAUAAUCACACAUAUCAAACAAUCAUCAAAAUAGGGUCCAAGUUUCGUUAACACCUUUAAUUUCUUAAUGGGUUACAUAUAUAUUUUUUUUUUAAGUUUCACAGCUUGACCACUGCUCAGUGUUUUGGCCAUAAAACAGAAUCUCUAACUCCGAUUGGGCUGAAUCCGGACUUUUUGAAAACUAGACUCGAUUUCCUACAUUUUAUCCAGAGAGGGGCAUCGGCCAAUUCUUCUCAGAUUAGCAGCUACAGCCCUUGCAAGAUAGGGCAAAGUUGCUGUGCAGAAUUAUAGUAUUUGCCAAAAUACACAAACACGUAAAGGCUUUAGCCAAUGGAUUAAGAAUACAUAAAUUUUCACCAAUUUGGCCUUGAAUGAGUGCAUUAAGAUCUCAUGGUUUGCUCCCUGAAUAGUAAUUCGUAGUUUGCUAGAAACUUUGAAUAUUGGUUAUCUUUUGUUAAACAUCAAACCUCACUGUCCACUUGAUCAAACUCUUGAAUCUACAUAACAACUUUUGUACGAUUUGUGUUUUAAAUGAGAUAAUCCACCGUCCAUAAAAACAAUUAACAAAUCUUGUUAAACUACUUGUUUACUCCACCAAUCACACACCAUCCAUUCAUCAUAUAUAUGUAUAUAUCCAUGCAUGUGAUUAAUCCCAUGAAUUGUAACUAAUACACGUAGAAGGAUUUUACCUUAUAUUCACGGGAAGCAACGUGUCUCUCACUGUCCUUCACAGUGGCCAAUACAUGUAAUAUGUAACCUACCUACGCCUACCCACCUCGCACCAUGCUUGUGUAAAUAUUUCUUCCCAUUCGUUGUACACUGAAAUACCGCAUCAAGAUCUCAUCGGAGUUGGUUUCCCGUUGUUUUUCUCUGUCGGUUUCCAUUGUUGAAACCACUUUAAGCCACCACAACCAUCUCCUUUCUCCUUCCUGUAUUCGCGUUUCUUUUUUUUUUUUUUUCUUUCGUUCCUUCCCAGUUGACGCCAAGCAAGAACAGUAAGCAAGCUUGAUUUUUGGGUUGCAUGUUAUUCCACAUGCUGAGGAAACGGAUUGGAGAAUAAUCGAUCCAAUUCCCUUGAAGGUUAUAAGUAAUUACUAUACUCGAAGGAAACGGAAGAAAAUAAACACAUACGUAACUAUCGGUUAAAUUGAAUUCAAAAUAGAAAUGUUACACUUUAAGUCCUUCGAUUUAUUUCAAAAUAAUUCUUUUAACCUUUUAACAAUUUCUUUAAUAAAUCAAGUUUCAUUCAAUGACAUUUUAACCCCUCUAUGUCAUUCAUACGUUUUAAUGAAUUAUAUAUAUACACCUUAUUUCAAAAAAACACAAUUAAUUAAAUUAUAUACUCGUUAAAUAUGUCGAUUAAUUAAUUUAGGUAUUUAUCGACACCCUUUUUGUUUAGUUUAUUUCAUUCUAUACCCUUAGAAUCGAAAUAUCUUUACAACAAUUAAUUUUCGAGUAACAUAAAGCUAACAUCGAUAAUGGAAGGAUUUUCAGGUCGUUACAAUUCUCCCCUCCUUAAAAUGAUUCCGUCUUCGGAAUCAGAUACCGAUACGAACAACUUAGGGUAACAAACAUUCAUGUAUUCAACCACCUUGGUCACUUCUGACCUAUACUUGUCCUCCCAUUAGAACUUAAUCAGCUUGGAUCAUUUUAUCCCCUGCUAUUUGGUCUCUCUCUAACCAUGUCAUCUGUCAUCCCUUUCAUCUCUUGCGUUAACUUAUCGUCUCACUACUUAUCCAUCAUCAAGUCACGCGACUCUUAACUUGCUGUGAUUGCCAAAAUGAAUGAUUCUCAACCAAGAAGAGUCUUUCAGUAUCAUCGUUUGUCCGUUGAGGAACAUACACAAUCACUUCCCCUCAUUGCACCUUCUCACUCCCUAACCAAAGUAGGACGUAGAUUCUUAUUUGCCUUCAUCUUGAUCGCGUCCAAUCUUAGACAAUUGACACCCAAACGCAUGUAUCGUCUUUUGUUUAACGAGUUGGACUAGCACUCCAUAAAAUGAGGAACUUGAUCGAAUAAUUCACACUCAAACAAGUCAUGAAGCUACGUCACCAUUUACUUCAUUACUGAAUGAACCAAUUUAAGAGUUGCUUUGGCCUUGGAGCCAUACAAAAAGUAUAGUCAAACGAGAUCUCUACCUUACAUGGUGUUUAUACACUCGAAACCUCAUCAGGGAAAAUCAUCGCUACAUUGUUUAGCAAGCUCCGUAUCAAAGAGACUUAUCAUUUUCCUUGAUCUCUCAAUCGUACUUGUCAAGAAGACCUCACAUCACCUCACUAGGAACUUAAGUGCCAUCAUCUUAGGAAUUUUAAGAGAAAGAAUACACCAUAGAGUUUUUCUCGUAAGACAUACCCUCUCUCGACAAGCAAAAUAUGCAUAUGCUCUUUAACUCAGAGAAUUUCAGUCUAGUUGGUGGAAAACCAAACCAUACUGAAAACAACAUCGAACAACUAGAUUCCAAAAGGAAGACAAUCACAAGGAAAACAUAGUCAUCUGCAAAGAUUUCACAUACGUCAAACAUCUUACUACACUCAGGCUACAUUUCGUACAACCGGGUUACUAUCUAACGUCAAAGUUAACAGACUCUAAGGUACGUCAAAACGAGCACAAAAGAGAACAAUGACACAAAAAAGUCUACCAAACAUACAUCCAUUCCAAAUCCGAGUACCGAUCACUAGGUCCUUGAGUUACCUUGUGGUUCCUCCGGUCCCAAAUAUGUAUCAUGUGCUUAUGAUAGUACGGGCCCAAUACUAACGUUCACACAUAUAUAUAUUUGCUUCUGGAAUUACCACAAAGUUAUAUGUGUUAUAGGUUUAGGUUAAAGAUCGAUGCAAGUAUUUUGCUUCAUGGAUUCCAAAACCUGAGGGAGUUUGUAUACUACGAUAAAACUUCUCUUCCUAGUCUGCCAUUGACCAACUAUAAACAAACAAUUUGCAGGGCUUUGUCGAAUACCUGCAGUCCAAUAAUUGCUGCAAGAUGAUCUUCCAUUUCCUCGAUACGCGAAGCACUAUUUGAACUAUAAACAUUCAUGGAUAACUAAUCUUGUUGGUCACAAGCAUUUCCCCUAACGUCGAGAGAUAUUAACGGUUAUAAGAUUCGCGAGAAAAAAGAGAGGAUGCUUCGAUAUCGGAAAAAAAAUGUCCUAAAGGCAUAUAGCAAAUAACAUAUAACUCUCAACACACACCCUUCCCCCCUUAAGAAUCCUAGAGCACCUAACCGAGCCAGUCUACACUGUGAGUCUGAACACUGGCAUCUGUAUUCAGUUCACUCACAGCAUGGCUCUGAUACCAACUUGUAACGUCGUGAUUUUUACUCCAUUUCUUUCUUUUAAAAACAUUUAUUUAACAGAAUACGUUAGCGGAAGACUUAGUUUUUUUAUUUAUUAUUAUUUUCAACCAUUCCAAAAGCCACACGUUACCAUUUUCAUAAACCAACAUUUAACCGUUUAAUUAUGGCAAAAAAAAAGGUUCAAAGGAAAAUAAAAACCAAACGUGCUCAAGUGGCAUCUUCAUUAAAACUAACUACCCAAAAGGAACCCAACCUCACCAAGCCAUGCUCCUAAGAUACCUGUACCAAUCAAAAGGCAUCCAACAAAGAAACAAGCGUUAGCAACUGCCACGUGAGCCGACAAGUUGUACACAACCAAAAAGAGAACACACAAUUCCCGUAAGGGUCAUCCAUGCAAAUCGUGAUAAUAACAUAGUCAAGAAAAACAAAUAACAUGAUAUCAUAAUUUAUUUCAAUCAUAUAGUUUUCAACUUAACUCAACCGAUUAUUACAUAUAAUUUAAUUCACCGUUUAUUAUAUGUAAUUUCUAAUUCAACCGAUUAACUACUUUGGGGUUCCUUAGGGAGGGUCUACCCAACAACUUAACCCCGUUCACUACUCGUGUGCUCAGCCAGUUUAGUGCUCUAAGUGGCUCAUGACUUCCACACGAAUACACCAACCCCAAGACUUCUACGUUCGCUACUCCGACUUGCAAAGUACAAGUACUUUACGGUGUCGUUUAGGAUCGGUACAAACGGUGUUAAUUCCAACGAUAAACCUCCCGAUUCCCACGUGAUGUUUGAUCCGGCCACACCAUAAAGCCAACACCAUUCCAGUUCCCGUACAUCGAGGUGCACACGAACCACGUGUCACACGACCAUCUAGAAAAGUUCGUGUAACUAAUCACCGUUAUGUCUUAAGCUCUUUCAACCCAUUAGGCUUGCAAGGUUCUACCCAUGUCACCGUUUCACCCCGCAAGCAUGCUUNCAUAAUAAUCAUAUUACUCUUACAACUUAAACGAGUAAUUAUCAUGUAAUGAAGUUCAUUAAGAGGUCACCAUACAUUAGCAUAUAACUACAAAUUCAUGAAACACCGUAUCCGCAUGCAAUUUACAACGUUCACAUAACAUGAAUAUCACCAUAGCAACUGAUGCCAAGGAAUAACCACACAUAAGAUGCAAACAACAUAUUUUCAAUAAUUAUCACAAAAAUCUAGCAUGAAUCCUAAUUUGCAUCAACAAUCCACCUAUGAGAUGUGGUUUUUGGUUAUGUACUAAAGUCAACAAAACUUGUCGACUCACCUUAUGUUUGAAGCGAGUUCUCCUUUUUAUUUCAAGCCUUGACCCUUCAUGAAGUUGUCAAGUUCCCACCUAAUAAUCACACAUAUCAAACAAUCAUCAAAAUAGGGUCCAAGUUUCGUUAACACCUUUAAUUUCUUAAUGGGUUACAUAUAUAUAUAUUUUUAAGUUUCACAGCUUGACCACUGCUCAGUGUUUUGGCCAUAAAACAGAACUCUAACUCCGAUUGGGCUGAAUCCAGACUUUUUGAAAACUAGACUCGAUUUCCU